RNAcentral lists this ribosomal RNA (482 nucleotides) under uncultured bacterium. RNAcentral's name for it is "partial 16S ribosomal RNA". It matches the Rfam family "Bacterial small subunit ribosomal RNA", at positions 30 to 507 of the family's 1533-position model. The record is from RNAcentral.
AUUGAACGCUGGCGGCAUGCUUUACACAUGCAAGUCGAACGGUAACGGGCCGCAAGGUGCUGACGAGUGGCGAACGGGUGAGUAAUGCAUCGGAACGUGCCCAGUCGUGGGGGAUAACUACUCGAAAGAGUAGCUAAUACCGCAUACGAUCUAUGGAUGAAAGCGGGGGACCGUAAGGCCUCGCGCGAUUGGGGCGGCCGAUGUCAGAUUAGGUAGUUGGUGGGGUAAAGGCUCACCAAGCCAACGAUCUGUAGCUGGUCUGAGAGGACGACCAGCCACACUGGGACUGAGACACGGCCCAGACUCCUACGGGAGGCAGCAGUGGGGAAUUUUGGACAAUGGGCGCAAGCCUGAUCCAGCAAUGCCGCGUGCAGGAAGAAGGCCUUCGGGUUGUAAACUGCUUUUGUACGGAACGAAACGGCUCUGGUUAAUACCCGGGGCUAAUGACGGUACCGUAAGAAUAAGCACCGGCUAACUACGUG